UAAUACGAAGGGACCUAGCGUAGUUCGGAAUUACUGGGCUUAAAGAGUUCGUAGGUGGUUGAAAAAGUUAGUGGUGAAAUCCCAGAGCUUAACUCUGGAACUGCCAUUAAAACUUUUCAGCUAGAGUAUGAUAGAGGAAAGCAGAAUUUCUAGUGUAGAGGUGAAAUUCGUAGAUAUUAGAAAGAAUACCAAUUGCGAAGGCAGCUUUCUGGAUCAUUACUGACACUGAGGAACGAAAGCAUGGGUAGCGAAGAGGAUUAGAUACCCUCGUAGUCCAUGCCGUAAACGAUGUGUGUUAGACGUUGGAAAUUUAUUUUCAGUGUCGCAGCGAAAGCGAUAAACACACCGCCUGGGGAGUACGACCGCAAGGUUAAAACUCAAAUGAAUUGACGGGGACCCGCACAAGUAGUGGAGCAUGUGGUUUAAUUCGAAGAUACGCGCAGAACCUUACCAACACUUGACAUGUUCGUCGCGACUCUAAGAGAUUAGAGUUUUCGGUUCGGCCGGACGAAACACAGGUGCUGCAUGGCUGUCGUCAGCUCGUGUCGUGAGAUGUUGGGUUAAGUCCCGCAACGAGCGCAACCCUCACUUUUAGUUGCCAUCAUUAAGUUGGGCACUCUGAAAGAACUGCCAGUGAUAAGCUGGAGGAAGGUGGGGAUGACGUCAAGUCCUCAUGGCCCUUACGUGUUGGGCUACACACGUGCUACAAUGGUAUCUACAACAGGAAGCAAGACUGCGAGGUCAAGCAAAUCCUUAAAAGAUACCUCAGUUCGGAUUGCACUCUGCAACUCGAGUGCAUGAAGCUGGAAUUACUAGUAAUCGUGGAUCAGCGUGCCACGGUGAAUGCGUUCCCGGGUCUUGUACACACCGCCCGUCACACCAUGGGAGUUGGUUCUACCUUAAGGCAAGGUUUAAAACCCUUGACCACGGUAUAGUCAGCGACUGGGGUGAAGUCGUAACAAGGUAGCCG
Molecule: ribosomal RNA, 970 nt
Filed under: uncultured bacterium
Lineage: Bacteria
Description: bacterial SSU rRNA
Rfam family: Bacterial small subunit ribosomal RNA
Source: RNAcentral